GUAUAAAUGUCAUUUCUGCACAAGGUACAGACAAGUCUGGUGGGAUCCAUGCCUGGUUCAUUUUAAUAAAUGUGAGCUUGUCCACGUUGGCUGUGGACAGGAGGGUGCGCUUGUCUGUGAUAUCGCCCCUGGCGACGUAGCAUUCGGAUUUCUGCCCUAUCAACUUUCGAUGUUACUUUCUGCGCCUACCAUGGUGAUCACGGGUAACGGGGAAUCAGGGUUCGAUUCCGGAGAGGAAGCCUGAGAAAUGGCUACCACAUCCAAGGAAGGCAGCAGGAGUGCAAAUUACCCACUCCCGAUGCGGGGUGGUAAUGACGAUAAAUAACAAUACAGGACUCUUUCAAGGUCCUGUAAUUGGAAUGAGUACACUUUAAAUCCUUUAACAAAUAUCUAUUGGAGGGCAAGAAAAUCCAUU
Non-coding RNA from Pelobates cultripes (western spadefoot toad), 415 nucleotides. The record is from the annotation of a GenBank genome assembly. NCBI's taxonomy places the organism in Eukaryota, Metazoa, Chordata, Amphibia, Anura, Pelobatidae.